AAACUUUCAACAACGGAUCUCUUGGUUCUGGCAUCGAUGAAGAACGCAGCGAAAUGCGAUAAGUAAUGUGAAUUGCAGAAUUCAGUGAAUCAUCGAAUCUUUGAACGCACAUUGCGCCCCGUGGUAUUCCGCGGGGCAUGCCUGUCCGAGCGUCAUU
RNAcentral lists this ribosomal RNA (157 nucleotides) under Protostegia eucleicola. Its description in RNAcentral is "5.8S ribosomal RNA". It matches the Rfam family "5.8S ribosomal RNA". Rfam says of the family: 5.8S ribosomal RNA (5.8S rRNA) is a component of the large subunit of the eukaryotic ribosome. It is transcribed by RNA polymerase I as part of the 45S precursor that also contains 18S and 28S rRNA. Functionally, it is thought that 5.8S rRNA may be involved in ribosome translocation. Lineage: Eukaryota; Fungi; Ascomycota; Dothideomycetes; Mycosphaerellales; Mycosphaerellaceae. The record is from RNAcentral.